This 212-nucleotide ribosomal RNA is filed under the name uncultured bacterium. Its description in RNAcentral is "partial 16S ribosomal RNA". It matches the Rfam family "Bacterial small subunit ribosomal RNA", at positions 1288 to 1500 of the family's 1533-position model. The record is from RNAcentral.
CUAGUUCGGAUUGUAGGCUGAAACCCGCCUACAUGAAGCUGGAAUUGCUAGUAAUCAUAGGUCAGCAUACUAUGGUGAAUACGUUCCCGGGCCUUGUACACACCGCCCGUCACACCAUGGGAGUUGGGAGCGCCCGAAGCCGGUGAGGUAACCGAGAGGAGCCAGCCGUCGAAGGUGAGACCAAUGACUGGGUGAAGUCGUAACAAGGUAUC